Non-coding RNA from Peromyscus leucopus (white-footed mouse), 732 nucleotides. Lineage: Eukaryota; Metazoa; Chordata; Mammalia; Rodentia; Cricetidae. The record is from the annotation of a RefSeq genome assembly.
GUCCCUCACAGGUCAGAGAACACUUAAGCAGAAGCCUUACUGGUUAAGGGUACAACCACAAGGUGGUAGUAGACCUCAGCUGCUGCAGAGUAUGAAGAGGACUCACUUCCUGGAUGCUGAUUGUGCAGGCUUAGGGCAGAAGCACAACCUUUUUCUCAGUGGCUGAGUGGAUGACUCAAGAGGUAGAAUUGUUACUGAGAGAGAACAACACCCUGGUAGCUGUAGCUGACCUGCUAGUCAUCACAAUCUACACCCGAUCUUAAUUUAAUUGGAAGGACAAUGAAGACAUUUGUUCCUACUUUAUUCAUGUUCUUGUGGCUGCAGCUCGAUGGGGUGAUCCAAGGUGAGCAGGUGGAGCAGCAUCCUUCCACUCUUAGAGUCCAGGAGGGAGCCAGCGCUGUCAUCAACUGCACUUACACAGACAGUGCCUCAUCCUAUUUCCCUUGGUAUAAGCAAGAACCCGGAGAGCAUCCUCAGCUCAUUAUUGACAUUCGUUCAACUGUGGAAAGAAAACAGGAGCAAAGACUGAUCGUUUUACAGGAUAAGAAAGCCAAACACUUCUCCCUGCACAUCAUAGACACCCGGCCUGGAGACUCUGCCAUGUACUUCUGUGCUGCAAGUGCACACUGCUCCACAGGCACCUGCAGCCUGUCCUCAAACCUGCCAUGGGGCCUGGAGCCCCAUCCACAUCCUGUGUCACAGGCCCUCAAUGCGACAUGUGCCAGUUUUUAG